UACGGAGGGGGCUAGCGUUGUUCGGAAUUACUGGGCGUAAAGCGCACGUAGGCGGACGAGAAAGUCAGAGGUGAAAUCCCAGGGCUCAACCUUGGAACUGCCUUUGAAACUUCUUGUCUUGAGGUCGAGAGAGGUGAGUGGAAUUCCGAGUGUAGAGGUGAAAUUCGUAGAUAUUCGGAGGAACACCAGUGGCGAAGGCGGCUCACUGGCUCGAUACUGACGCUGAGGCACGAAAGCGUGGGGAUCAAACAGG
Molecule: ribosomal RNA, 253 nt
Filed under: uncultured Rhodobacter sp.
Lineage: Bacteria; Pseudomonadati; Pseudomonadota; Alphaproteobacteria; Rhodobacterales
Description: partial 16S ribosomal RNA
Rfam family: Bacterial small subunit ribosomal RNA
Source: RNAcentral